This 205-nucleotide long non-coding RNA is filed under the name Gossypium barbadense (sea-island cotton). Its description in RNAcentral is "long non-coding RNA (GBAR_LNC008114)". Lineage: Eukaryota; Viridiplantae; Streptophyta; Magnoliopsida; Malvales; Malvaceae. The record is from RNAcentral.
AAGAUUGAAUUGUUCAUUAAGUGAUGAUAAUUGUAAUGUAAAAGUAUGUGUGUGAUUUAAUGUAUUUAAUUAUAAAUUGAAUUAUAGUGAUACCACUGAGUAUAUGCAUACUCAGCGUACGGUUGUUUCCGUGCGUAGGUUGUAGAAGUCAAGUACUGAACCAGCAUCCAAAGCCAGACCCGACUUCAGUAAACUUUUGGUGAUG